This 517-nucleotide ribosomal RNA is filed under the name uncultured prokaryote. RNAcentral's name for it is "partial 16S ribosomal RNA". It matches the Rfam family "Bacterial small subunit ribosomal RNA", at positions 969 to 1482 of the family's 1533-position model. The record is from RNAcentral.
CCUUACCAGCGUUUGACAUCNUAAGAAGUUUCUAGAGAUAGAUUCGUGCCGGCUUGCCGGAACUUAGUGACAGGUGGUGCAUGGCUGUCGUCAGCUCGUGUCGUGAGAUGUUGGGUUAAGUCCCGCAACGAGCGCAGCCCCUAUUGUAUGUUGCUANCAUNNNNNNNNNCNCCNCNNNNNAUACUGCCUGCGAUGAGCAGGAGGAAGGUGGGGAUGACGUCAAGUCAUCAUGCCCCUUAUACGCUGGGCUACACACGUGCUACAAUGGGCAGUACAGAGAGUUGCCAACCCGCGAGGGUGAGCUAAUCUCUUAAAGCUGUUCUUAGUUCGGAUUGUACUCUGCAACUCGAGUACAUGAAGUUGGAAUCGCUAGUAAUCGCAAAUCAGCAUGUUGCGGUGAAUACGUUCUCGGGUCUUGUACACACCGCCCGUCACACCACGAGAGUUGGUUGCACCUGAAGUAGCAGGCCUAACCGUAAGGAGGGAUGUUCCUAAGGUGUGAUUAGCGAUUGGGGUG